Long non-coding RNA from Culex pipiens pallens (northern house mosquito), 1025 nucleotides. RefSeq lists it as uncharacterized. The record is from RefSeq and is a predicted model, not a curated record. The transcript is spliced from 2 exons. Lineage: Eukaryota; Metazoa; Arthropoda; Insecta; Diptera; Culicidae.
UGUUGCCGAGGGGGACGUCACUCCGCGAUAACACACUAAAACGCACAAAAACGAGCUCGAAAAGCAUCAACGCUACUCAUCGUGCCGAGAUUUCACAUAACGCCACCCUAAAGCAAGUUAUCGCAAGUUAACGCGCGUUAAAGCGAAUUAAAGCGACCAGCGUCUGCUCGACUUUUGAACCAGGGAAAUCUAUCUUGCAACCUUGCCGUCGAGCAGUUUUUGGUCAUGUUUGGCAACUCAGUAUUUGUUUUGGUUUUUUUCAAGCAGUUUUGACAGAAAGAAAAAAACAAAGCAAAAAGCGCCCGGAAAAAAAAAUCAACGCCCGGAGAAGUUUGUUUCGGUGUGAUCGCCGGCUCCACCGUCCACAGAGCGCGACGCACGUUUUGACGACCGGAAAAGUUAACUUUUCUCCCGGUGUGUUGGGUUUGAUCGGCGCUUGGAUCGGCGGCUCUAACAUCAAGUGGAGCGGAUUUUGGCGGAAAAUCCUGGCGCAAACUCAAGGAGGAGCAAAUUUUUCGAGCAGAUAAACAACGCGCUUGGAUGUAGAUAUGCCUAGACUGGGGCCAUUCCAGUCCGGCGCUCCGCUGACCACUGAAAGGCGCACCACCACGUUGCAAAUAUCAAUGGCCAUUAUUCACCAGCUUUUGCCCGACCAAGGACAACUUUGAAACAUCCUCCAGCUCGCAGAACGUCCAUGCGACGCUAGACGCUUUCAACCAGCUGGGCAAUCUCUUUUUAAAGAUCAACGGCGAAGUGCUGGAUGUGGUAUUGGCUGUGUUCAACAAGGAUGGACACUCCAGACUGGAUGUUCCCGAGUCCCGAGACCACGUUUGAACCCAUCGAAGAGACCAUCAACCUGAUGGACAAGAAGGUGGUACACCCCGCGGAAAAAAAUCUAGCUGCCGCAGUAUAUCGACAUGCGGGGACGAGCUCUCCCGAUCCAGCUGCGCACCUGAACCACCUCGACCACAAUCUGGACGGCUGUCUCCGCAGAUGUACCAAAUUUAAUAAAAUUAUGAAAAAGA